AAAUGAAAAAGAAAAUAGCCAAAUCUAAGUAUUAGACGACCUUCCAGUCUACCUGAUGUAUGAUCUCUGUAGUUCUGAAA
Small nucleolar RNA from Equus asinus (donkey), 80 nucleotides. NCBI's taxonomy places the organism in Eukaryota, Metazoa, Chordata, Mammalia, Perissodactyla, Equidae. The record is from Ensembl.